CUUAUGGUAUGUAGUGUAUAGGGUUACCAGUUUGUGCAGGUGAUGCAGUGUGUUUGUGUGUAGUGGAAGCAGUGUGUAUUUGUGUAUAAGGGAUGUAUUAUGUGUUUUUGGUUGUGUGUAAGGGAUGCAUUGUGUGAAUCUGUGUUUGUAUGCAUAAGGGAUGCAAAGUGUGUGUCUGUAUGUGUGUGCAUUUAGUGUAAGAGAUGCAUUGUGUUUCUGUGUGUAUGUAAGAAAAGAAGUGUGUGUGUUUGCAUGUGUGUGU
RNAcentral lists this long non-coding RNA (262 nucleotides) under Pelobates cultripes (western spadefoot toad). Lineage: Eukaryota; Metazoa; Chordata; Amphibia; Anura; Pelobatidae. The record is from RNAcentral.